This 720-nucleotide ribosomal RNA is filed under the name uncultured fungus. Its description in RNAcentral is "bacterial SSU rRNA". It matches the Rfam family "Eukaryotic small subunit ribosomal RNA", at positions 828 to 1570 of the family's 1831-position model. Lineage: Eukaryota; Fungi. The record is from RNAcentral.
CUUUGGUUUUAUUUUGUUGGUUUCUAGGACCGAAGUAAUGAUUAAUAGGGAUAGUUGGGGGCAUUAGUAUUUCAGUGUCAGAGGUGAAAUUCUUGGAUUUCUGAAAGACUAACUACUGCGAAAGCAUUUGCCAAGGAUGUUUUCAUUAAUCAAGAACGAAAGUUAGGGGAUCGAAGACGAUCAGAUACCGUCGUAGUCUUAACCGUAAACUAUGCCGACUAGAGAUUGGUGAGUGUUUUUUCGACCUCAUCAGCAUCUUACGAGAAAUCAAAGUUUUUGGGUUCUGGGGGGAGUAUGGUCGCAAGGCUGAAACUUAAAGGAAUUGACGGAAGGGCACCACCAGGAGUGGAGCUUGCGGCUUAAUUUGACUCAACACGGGAAAACUUACCAGGUCCAGACAUAGUAAGGAUUGACAGAUUGAGAGCUCUUUCUUGAUUUCUAUGGUUGGUGGUGCAUGGCCGUUCUUAGUUGGUGGAGUGAUUUGUCUGGUUAAUUCCGAUAACGAACGAGACCUUAACCUGCUAAAUAGUUGCUGAAAGUUUUUACUUUUAUGGCAACUUCUUAGAGGGACUAUUGAUGUUUAAUCAAUGGAAGUUUGAGGCAAUAACAGGUCUGUGAUGCCCUUAGAUGUUCUGGGCUGCACGCGUGCUACACUGAUGAAGUCAGCGAGUAUAAUCCUUUGCCGAGAGGUAUGGGUAAUCUUGUGAAACUUCAUCGUGA